GUCAAAUCAUCAUGCCCCUUAUGACCUGGGCUACACACGUGCUACAAUGGACGGUACAAAGAGCUGCAAGACCGCGAGGUGGAGCUAAUCUCAUAAAACCGUUCUCAGUUCGGAUUGUAGGCUGCAACUCGCCUACAUGAAGCUGGAAUCGCUAGUAAUCGCGGAUCAGCAUGCCGCGGUGAAUACGUUCCCGGGCCUUGUACACACCGCCCGUCACACCACGAGAGUUUGUAACACCCGAAGUCGGUGGGGUAACCUUUU
Molecule: ribosomal RNA, 261 nt
Filed under: Bacillus sp. (in: firmicutes)
Lineage: Bacteria; Bacillati; Bacillota; Bacilli; Caryophanales; Bacillaceae
Description: Bacillus sp. (in: Bacteria) partial 16S ribosomal RNA
Rfam family: Bacterial small subunit ribosomal RNA
Source: RNAcentral